This 1273-nucleotide long non-coding RNA is filed under the name Carica papaya (papaya). RNAcentral's name for it is "long non-coding RNA (CPAP_LNC012986)". Lineage: Eukaryota; Viridiplantae; Streptophyta; Magnoliopsida; Brassicales; Caricaceae. The record is from RNAcentral.
UUUGAUAUAAGCCCACCAUGGAAUUGGAUCUAAAACCCAAUGGUUACACCGACCUGAACCAACCCAACAUCAAAACUCCUUCCAUCAUCUUCAACCUUUGAAAAUAUCAAUGGUACUUUAGUUUUAAUCCCAACCGCCAUCUACAUAACAGAACAGUCAACUCUUUCAAGUUUUGCUUAUUUAUAGCAUAAUACAUCAACAAUAUUCACAACAGUCAAUAGUUAUUACAAAUCAACAGCAAACAAAGAAUCUAAAUCAAAUAUAUUAGCUUAGAUCUAGGAAUUUAGAGUAUAAGCUACUCUUACCAGAAUUUCAAAUAGAAAAGAAGCUCGCUCAGAUCAGAGGGCAUCGCGUCGUGCACCAGGUCAUCGUUCCUCAUUCUCAUUCUUCUCCUUUGCGACCAACGGGUCGCGCAGCACCUCGGGGCCAUGCAACCCACCUCUCUUUGGCUGCCGGCUCAACACUCCUCGACCUCACAUGCUGCGCACACCAGGCAAGGAUCUUUUCCUUUUCAGCCUCCCUCCUCCUUCGGCUGCUCGUUCCUCCCUCUUCUCCCUCUCUUUUCUCUCUCUCUCUAUUUUGGCUCUCCUCUUCCGAAUUUGAGGAAAAGUGGUUAGGGUUUCCUUUUUUAUACCUUUCAUCUUAACCGUCUGAUCGUCCUAGAUCCAAUCUGAGCUGUUCAAGCAUAUCUGAAUUGAGAGCUGUUGGAUCGGCUCCAAACGUUGAGAUCUUGGCCGUCCAUUUUUUAUCUUUGUAUCUACCCCUUCUAUUCUUUGUUAAUUAUGGUUUUAACCCCAUUUUCCAUGAAAAUUAUUCUUUUAGGUCUCAUAAAUUUAAAAGACCUCUAAUUUUAAAAAUUUAUUCAGUUAAGCCCCAAACCCUUAAUUUAAUUGAUUUAAUUUCUAGAUUUUAAAUUUCUUCAUAUUUAUUUAAUUAUUUACAAUCUUUUAAAUUUAUAUUUAAAAAAAAAUGGAUAUUACGACUUUCUAAAUUUAUCUCUUAAUUAAAAAUGAAGAGAUAAAUUAAAUAACACUUAGAAAAAAAAUUAAAAUAUUAUAAUAUAUAAGCAUAUAAUCCUUUGUCCCUUAGAGUGCCUCAUAACCGUCUUUACAACUUUCUAGUGUUUAAUUCCUAGAUCACUUUGGUAUCUUCCUAACAUACUAACAACAUAACUGAUAUUUCGUUUAGUAUAAGUUUGAGCGUAUAUCAAGCUUCCCACAACAGAUGUAUAAGUAUUUUUUUUUCAUCCAUUCCUUUUCUAAGUCAUUCAUUG